GGCUUGAUGGUCUAGAGGUAUGAUUCCUUCUUAGGGCGUAAGCAACACUAUUUGGAGGAGGUCCCGGGUUCGACUCCCGGUCAAGCCC
Molecule: non-coding RNA, 88 nt
Organism: Laetiporus sulphureus 93-53
Lineage: Eukaryota; Fungi; Basidiomycota; Agaricomycetes; Polyporales; Laetiporaceae
Source: the annotation of a RefSeq genome assembly